RNAcentral lists this ribosomal RNA (205 nucleotides) under uncultured bacterium. Its description in RNAcentral is "partial 16S ribosomal RNA". It matches the Rfam family "Bacterial small subunit ribosomal RNA", at positions 568 to 774 of the family's 1533-position model. The record is from RNAcentral.
CACGUAGGCGGAUCAUUAAGUCGGGGGUGAAAUCCUGGAGCUCAACUCCAGAACUGCCUUCGAUACUGAAGAUCUCGAGUCCGGGAGAGGUGAGUGGAACUCCGAGUGUAGAGGUGAAAUUCGUAGAUAUUCGGAAGAACACCAGUGGCGAAGGCGGCUCACUGGCCCGGUCUAACGCUGAGGUGCGAAAGCGUGGGAGCAAACA